RNAcentral lists this long non-coding RNA (713 nucleotides) under Mytilus galloprovincialis (Mediterranean mussel). Lineage: Eukaryota; Metazoa; Mollusca; Bivalvia; Mytilida; Mytilidae. The record is from RNAcentral.
CACAUGCAUUAUGUAGAUAGCUAGGCAAACAUGCAAAAAUUAAAGCAAGCAAGCUAACAAGAAAAUAAACGCAAAUUGAAAAGUAUAAAUAUAUACAUGUAACUGAGUAGCUCACUCGUGUAAAAAAGAAUUGGUAUGAGUCAACUCUUCACAGUAGACCAAACGGCAAAUAAAUCAAUAACAAUAAGUCAUCGUACUGCCUUCAACAAUGAACAGGGCCCAUACCGCAUUAAUAACGAUAAGUCAAUUUACUGCCUUCAACAAUGAGCGGAGCCCAUGCCGCAUAAAUAACAGUCACUUUUCUGCCUUCAACAAUGAGCAGGGCCUAUACUGCUUUAAUAACAAUAAGUCAUUGUACUGCCUUCAACAAUGAGCAGAGCCCAUGUCGCAUUAAUAACAAUUAGUCACUUUUCUGCCUUCAACAAAGAGCAGGGCCCAUACUGCAUUAAUAACAAAAGUCAUGUACUGCCUUCAACAAUGAGCAGAGCUCAUACCGCAUUAGUGAGUAAAUAAAGACCCAAAAGAAAAAUGUUAAACAAGUCAAACGAGAAAACAGUAGGCAUAAUUUAUGUUCAAUUUUUUUUUUUUAUAUAGUAAUGCCGAUUUAAGUGUAUCAAACAAUUUAGGAAAUAUUUAAGACUGUUCAAAGAAUUUGCACGUGUAAAUACUUUAAUCGAAGCCAUCGACUCUGAUUGGAUUUAUUUUAAAGCUAU